This 915-nucleotide long non-coding RNA is filed under the name Cyanistes caeruleus (blue tit). RNAcentral describes it as "lncRNA (ENSCCEG00000002724.1)". Lineage: Eukaryota; Metazoa; Chordata; Aves; Passeriformes; Paridae. The record is from RNAcentral.
GAACAGAGUUGAUGACUCCCAGUGGUGUUCUUGAUGGGCAAUGUCUCCAUCUUUUAAAAUCACCCUUACAGGCAGGUGAUUAGUUCCCUUAUUGGCAUUUUCACCUGCAGAAAUGAGGACUGAAUGGGCUGAAUGAUCAUUUUGCACUGUAAUUUAUGCAUGUAGUCCAAUAUAGCUCAUACUGAGGAUCUAUUCCUCUUUUAUAAUUGGGACAAAUUCCAUCUCUAGAAGCUCUUCUUCCAAGAGAGGAUGAAAUAUCUAAACCAUCACCUGUCUAACACCAUUCAGCUGGUAUUUAUUUCUGACAUGUUCGUGUCAGUAGAAGGCUUUCCAAGCUCACAGAGAUAUUGGGAGGUUUCAUUUAUACAAUAGUGUGAGAUUGCCUGAUCAAAGGCAUACAAGUGGAAAUCAUUACUGUUAUUUUCAGACACGUCUUUAAUCACAGCCUCUCCCUAUUCAUCGCAAUCAUUGCAAUUGUAAAUCAGAAGUGAGCUCCCUCACCACCUGGCCACUUGGUUCUCUUUUAAUUUCUGCCUGUUGCCUGUGAAAUCUCUCCUGCAUCCCCCUCCACCUCUCCGUGAUGCGAACACGUGCACGAAAAUUUGCUCUGAUAGCUUCGCUUUGUGUGGAUUUGUUUCUGCAAAGAGAGACUGCCUUGGAUGACAGCAAAUCUCAUACAUCCUGACCAGGGAAGUGCCUCCCUUCCAGCAGCUGCAGAGGUGGGUGAUCCAUCUGAGAAUGAAGAGACUGCUGGGGAGCAAACCUUUUGCUCAGGAUCACAGCAGAACAGCUUCUAGUGCAACUAGCUGAUGGCUAAUUUGCUUGGGGCUGGCAGCCCGGUGCUUUCAACAGCCUGAACUUCACUUAAAAAAAUUAUAGUGAUUAAGUAAACACAGCUAUAAUGGAAAUCUUUAC